AGCAGCGUGGCUCAGUGGAAAGAGCCCGGCCUUGGAAGUCAGAGGUCACGGGUACAAGUCCCGGCUCUGCCA
RNAcentral lists this transfer RNA (72 nucleotides) under Ornithorhynchus anatinus (platypus). It matches the Rfam family "tRNA". Rfam says of the family: Transfer RNA (tRNA) molecules are approximately 80 nucleotides in length. Their secondary structure includes four short double-helical elements and three loops (D, anti-codon, and T loops). The record is from Rfam by way of RNAcentral. Lineage: Eukaryota; Metazoa; Chordata; Mammalia; Monotremata; Ornithorhynchidae.